ACAUGCAAGUCGAACGUGAAAGUCCCUUCGGGGAUGAGUAAAGUGGAGUCCGGGUGAGUAACACGUGGGUAAUCUACCUCCGGGUGGGGAAUAAC
RNAcentral lists this ribosomal RNA (95 nucleotides) under uncultured Acidobacteriota bacterium. RNAcentral's name for it is "uncultured Acidobacteria bacterium partial 16S ribosomal RNA". The record is from RNAcentral. Lineage: Bacteria; Pseudomonadati; Acidobacteriota.